Molecule: non-coding RNA, 54 nt
Organism: Salmo salar (Atlantic salmon)
Lineage: Eukaryota; Metazoa; Chordata; Actinopteri; Salmoniformes; Salmonidae
Source: Rfam
AAUGCAGCAAUUUGUAAGUCGCUCUGGAUAAGAGCGUCUGCUAAAUUCCUUCCC